CAGGGGAAUCAGCAGAGGUACAGUAGCAGGGGAAUCAGCAGAGGUACAGUAGCAGGGGAAUCAGCAGAGGUACAGUAGCAGGGGAAUCAGCAGAGGUACAGUAGCAGGGGAAUCAGCAGAGGUACAGUAGCAGGGGAAUCAGCAGAGGUACAGUAGCAGGGGAAUCAGCAGAGGUACAGUAGCAGGGGAAUCGGCAGAGGUACAGUAGCAGGGGAAUCGGCGGAGGUACAGUAGCAGGGGAAUCGGCGGAGGUACAGUAGCAGGGGAAUCGGCAGAGGUACAGUAGCAGUAUGUGUUAUCCAGGGAAUGAUGUAUCUAUGAGAUGGAGGUCAGUAUGUGUUAUCCAGGGAAUGAUGUAUCUAUGAGAUGGGGGCCAGUCUCCCAGUCUCCCGGUCUCCCGGUCUCCCGGUCUCCCAGUCUCCCAGUCUCCCGGUCUCCCGGUCUUCCAGUCUCCCUCCUCUCAUCCACCCCAGGGUGAUAUCCCUCCUGCUGAUAUCCUUGUCUACUGCUAAGAGAGAAUACUCUCUCAUCUUCCGCGCCCCCCUUUAAUCUUCUCAUCAACACGGAGAUUACACAGUGCCGCGCUUGUAAGAACUAGGAACACAGCGCACAACGAGGGGCGCGGAGGGAACAGAAAGGGGUAGAUAAGAAAGAAGAGGACACAGAGAGGGAGAGAGGAGAAAGAGAGAUGGAAAGAAGAGAGAGAAAGAAGAGAGAGAGUAAAAUAGAGAGAGUAAAGGAGAGAGCGAGAGAGAGGGGGAGAGAUGAAGAGUAAAAUAGAGAGAGUAAAGGAGAGAGAGAGAGGGAAAGAAGAGAGUAAAAUAGAGAGAGUAAAGGAGAGAGAGAGAGAGGGAGAGAUGAAGAGUGCAUCAGAGGGUGUGACGUACUAUCACCCAUCAUUAGCUCUGUUUACACACGUACCACAGGAGGAAAGGUCACCAUCCCCACAGUGUCUUUUCGCCUCGGUGACAAUAUGUUAUCUUUCCUCUCAGCGGCUCUGACUAACCCCAGAUCAGUGUCUGCAUCUCUAACGGCACCCUGUUCCCUGUGGGCCCUCGUUGCACCCUGUUCCCCGUGGGCCCUCGUUGCACCCUGUUCCCCGUGGGCCCUCGUUGCACCCUGUUCCCCGUGGGCCCUCGUUGCACUGCGUAAGGAAUAGUGUGCCAUUUGGGACGGGAUCAGUUUCUAGGGGCUGCCAACCGGUAAUCCUGUUGGAUUGUCGGAUAUAAGGGCAGAGGGCCUGGAGGACACAGAAGAGAGUCAUGUGGGUUCAAGACCAAGGGAGGAGGAGUGGAGGGGUGGAAGACAAGUGGAAUAGCAGGAAGAUUGGAGGUGUGGUGGAAGGGUGGAAUAGCAGCAGGAGGAACAGUGGAAGGGAGGUGGAAUAGCAGCAGGAGGAACAGUGGAAGGGAGGUGGAAUAGCAGCAGGAGGAACAGUGGAAGGGAGGUGGAAUAGCAGCAGGAGGAACAACAGUGGAAGGGAGGUGCGAGCUGAGUUUGAAAUUAACAAUUAGAAAAAGUCAUGAAGGAAUGGUCAUAAUCACUCCCACUAAUAAUCAGUCACUGAUCUACGGAGACAAAUCCACCGACACAGGAAAUUAUAUUACAUACCAGGAAUGAGAGGGAGAGAGAGAGAGAGAGGAGAGGAAGAGAGGAACAAGAGCAAGAGUGAGGUGGCCAUGGGAUCUGUUUCCUGUUUCUGCUGCACACACACACACACGCAUGCUCAUACACACUCACCCACAAAUGCACACACACAUACGAACACUAACACACACAUACACACAUAAACACAUAAACUCAAGCACAAGCACGCAUUCACAUACACACACUCAUACACGCACACACACACAUACACACACACAUAUACACACACACACACAUACAAUCACUCACAUGUACUCACACACAAACACACACUCACACGCAUGCUCAUACACACUCACACACAAAUACACACACACACACAUGCAUACACUCACUCACACAGAUGCAUACACACACACACCGUGUAUAAUGCAUGGGGGUUCAGUGACAUUAAAAUUAUAGGUUAUUGAGCGUUUUAAAGGGAUUUAUAGGUCAGAGCUACAGUCUGUGGCAGAGAGAGAGAGAGAGACUGCUACUCCAGUGAUACCCAGCUUUCUCUCUCAUACACACAGUCAGAAAUACACACUUUUCCACCUCUGCAGCAGUGCUCUUAUAAAUUACCUGUCGGUUUUACUCAGGACUGUUUUCCUAUUCUUCCUCUCCUCUCUCUCCCUCUCCUCUCUUCUCUCCCGCCCUCCUCUCUUGUUUUCACAUUCUUCCUCUUCUCUCUCUCUUCUCUCUUGUUAACAGAUACUUCCUCUUCUCUCUCUCUCUCUCUCCAUCCCUCCCCUUCCCUCCCUCCAAAUCUCCCUCCCUCCCUUCUCUCCAUCCCUCCUCCCUCCCUCUCUUCAUCCCUCCCUUCACCCCUCUCUCCAACCCUCCCUCCCUAUCUCUCCCUACCUCCCUCCCUCCCUCAUUCCCUCAAUCCCUCCCUCUCUCUCCAACCGUCUCUCCAUCCCUCCCUCCCCCUCUCUCUAUCCCUCCCUCCCUUUGGACACACC
This is a long non-coding RNA of Oncorhynchus tshawytscha (Chinook salmon), 2588 nucleotides long. The record is from Ensembl. Lineage: Eukaryota; Metazoa; Chordata; Actinopteri; Salmoniformes; Salmonidae.